This is a non-coding RNA of Manis javanica (Malayan pangolin), 911 nucleotides long. Lineage: Eukaryota; Metazoa; Chordata; Mammalia; Pholidota; Manidae. The record is from RefSeq and is a predicted model, not a curated record.
UCCCGUCAGAGGGGGACAUGCGCAGUGAGUGCCUCCCGUCUCUUCUACCCGAACCCCCCCUCCCCCCCCAAGCAGAGAGACCCCAGCAGCAGCAGCAGCUGAUGAUGAAGAGAGAGGCAGUGGCAGAGGGGGGGCACCUUUUAUUUCUAUUUUUAAAGGGACAGGACACUAAUUUUACCCCACUUCAACCUUGAAUCGAGGAGGGUGGGGGGGAAGGCGGCUGAGUUCCUUCCCCCACCCUCAAGCCCUGAGACCUGAGAAGGGGAUUGAGCCUAAGAGAGAAGGAGAAGGAGUUUCUUAUUCUUCGAAAACCCCCAUCCACGACUCCUACCCCCUCACCCCUCCACGAGCCUCCCUCCCGACCCCCCACCCUCCUCCUCUCUGGCCGUGCGGGGAUAGAAAGCGCCCAGAGCCUCUUAGCAACACAGCCCUGCUCUGCCGCCGCUGCUUGGCCCUGGCUGGAGACGUCUCACUACACCCGGGAGCAGCCGCUGCCCCAGCGCUCCGCCGCCGCCGCCUCCACUCCCCCCUUUAUUACCCUUUGUGUCAUCCUCCUCAGCUCCGGGGAAGGCACUCAAAAGUGGGGGGCAGGAAAGCAAAUACGCACAAGAGAAGCUGAAAAAAAAGGCAAUUCUAGAAUGUGAAAGCAUCUUUGGAGAUCAUGAUGAAAAGAUGCUUCUUGAAUAUCCCAGUUUCUUCAUGUGGAAAGUAGAUAUUGAAGGUUAUAUGGUUUACAGACAAGAUCUUUAAAAGAUAGACACUCAAGGACCAAGAAAAUAAAUACCAGAAGCCAAGAGCACAGAUUUUCCUUUGUCGAUCCGUAGAACCCCGAUACUUCUCUAAUUCCAUCAAUCACAAAGGGAUGACCACCUUGACAGAUGGCCACAGAGGAUGUCAGCAAUUUUUCGGAG